GACCGGGCAGCGAGUGAAUGUCACCAGAAACCGAUUCGUUUGGCUUUCGAUUCCAAUAUUUGGUGACAUGACGGCGGCAACAGAUUGAAAGGGUGGCGGAGCUGGCUCUGUUUGCUUGGUAAGCCACAGUGACAGGCGUUUGCUCGGCGAACAUUUUGACAUGGUUUCUGGCCAAACCAACAGCAAACCAAACCAGACCCGAUCGUAUAGGCGGAGGAUGGGCCAGGACUCCAACAGAGCAGGCCAGGCCAGGACAGGACACGGGAGCUGAAUGCGUUAAGAGGCCUGACGUGGUCAACAUGACAGCUGCACUUUGUGGUGAUUUAUGUGUAUGACUGCGAAUGCCAGACCAAAGGCAUCUAUCGUCUGAAACUCUUUGA
Drosophila bipectinata is the source of this 380-nucleotide long non-coding RNA. RefSeq lists it as uncharacterized. The record is from RefSeq and is a predicted model, not a curated record. Lineage: Eukaryota; Metazoa; Arthropoda; Insecta; Diptera; Drosophilidae.